UACGGGAGCAGCAGUGGGGAAUAUUGCACAAUGGGCGCAAGCCUGAUGCAGCCAUGCCGCGUGUAUGAAGAAGGCCUUCGGGUUGUAAAGUACUUUCAGUCGUGAGGAAGGUGUUAAGGUUAAUAACCUUAGCAAUUGACGUUAGCGACAGAAGAAGCACCGGCUAACUCCGUGCCAGCAGCCGCGGUAAUACGGAGGGUGCGAGCGUUAAUCGGAAUUACUGGGCGUAAAGGGCACGCAGGCGGUUAAUUAAGUUGGAUGUGAAAUCCCCGGGCUUAACCUGGGAAUGGCAUUCAAGACUGGUUAGCUAGAGUCUUGUAGAGGGGGUAGAAUUCCAUGUGUAGCGGUGAAAUGCGUAGAGAUGUGGAGGAAUACCGGUGGCGAAGGCGGCCCCUGGCAAAGACUGACGCUCAUGUGCGAAAGCGUGGGGAGCAAACAGGGAUUAGAUACC
RNAcentral lists this ribosomal RNA (451 nucleotides) under uncultured bacterium. RNAcentral's name for it is "bacterial SSU rRNA". It matches the Rfam family "Bacterial small subunit ribosomal RNA", at positions 340 to 786 of the family's 1533-position model. The record is from RNAcentral.